This 540-nucleotide long non-coding RNA is filed under the name Polistes fuscatus (common paper wasp). RNAcentral's name for it is "uncharacterized LOC122518321, transcript variant X2". Lineage: Eukaryota; Metazoa; Arthropoda; Insecta; Hymenoptera; Vespidae. The record is from RNAcentral.
UCAAGCUAAUAUAAUCAAAUAUUAUAGUAUAUUACAAAUUUCGAAAUUACUUAUUGACCAAUCACAAUAACGACACAGACAAAAAUGUGUUCAGACAAUUGGGUAUAAUAAAUAUGCAAAUAAUAUGCAAAUCAAGAACGGUUUGCUCGAUGGUUUAAAAAAAUUGAUCUCAAACGACAACUCAUUGUCAGUGUCUGUUCCCAUCUUGUCCUCGGAAUAUAAACGGAGCGUGUCUUGAGAAUAAAUAUCUCUUCUACGAUGAUAUCAAAUCGGCACACGAUUAUGCAUCGUCGUUGGCAGUGAGUUCUGAAGCUAACGAGAUGAGCACAGUUAAACUCUUCUUUGAAUCUUACGUUAUAACUUUCGUGGAAAGCUUACGUAUACAUUCAAAAGUAUAUACAUUUAAAGGAUGUUUGGAAAACGUGGUUGAGAGAAGAAGAGUGCAGAAUGGAAAGUAUUUAAACGAAAACUAAUAUAUAUGCAAAUUUAAAACUGUAGUUGUCUUUUAUUACGGUGUAUGAUUAAAUAAUUUGAAUUCUU